Molecule: long non-coding RNA, 1503 nt
Organism: Herpailurus yagouaroundi (jaguarundi)
Lineage: Eukaryota; Metazoa; Chordata; Mammalia; Carnivora; Felidae
Exons: 2
Source: RefSeq, a predicted model, not a curated record
UCAAACUCUUUCCUCCCCUUCACCUAAAACAGUGUCUGGUUUACUCCCGAGGGACAGCUGGGAGCCAUGGGUGGGAAUGUUCUGGCAGGGCCAGGACUAGAUGAGGUGCCUAGGGUCCAAAUCAAAGAGGCACUCGCUCUCAGGAUCGUGCAGGCGCAACGAGCAUCUUCUUCAGUUUUGCACCUCAACCUUGCCUGGUCCUGUGUAGGGCAGGAGAUGUCAGGUGGGUACCCGAGCCAGUGUGGUAGUUUUCAGCAUUGCCUCCUAAGGUAGUGAGCUACCCGUCACUGGAGGCAUUCAAGCUGAAAGUGGUCAGCUGCGUCUUAGGGAUGCUGAAGAGAGCAUUUCUUUAAUGGCUGGGAGGUGGACUAGAUGAUUCUGCCUUCCACCCCUGGAAGCUAGGAUCUAAGGAGCCUUUCCUGAUGGUGCAUCUCAGAACUGCGUCUCUUUCCUUCCAGCUCUGUUUUUACCUCCAAGACCACUCAUCCGGCCGUCCACCGCAGGCUGUCUCGUGACAGCUCUCGUACAGCUGGCCUGUCUUGUUAUUUCGGAUUUCACGAGUUUCUGUGUCAUUGUCCUAACGGCGUUCCACAUGCAUCAAGGACAGGGAUCGAACUGCACACUUUCUGUUCUCUCGGACUGGUGGGUCUUGUCAUGCCUAGAGAAAGGAACGAUCGCAACUCGAGCCUUAGUAUUCCCGGGUGUUUAAAAAGACUUGGACUGGUCACCCAGGUGGGAGCUUCUCAUUGCUCAGAAGUGUCUACUCCCCAGAAGAGAGUUCUGCCCAGGAGACACUUGUAGACGAGGGAAAGGUGAGUCUCCCAGGAGUCUGACUGGCAGGGAUCAGCCUGCUAGAAUUCGAUCACCUUUGGGGAACGUCCAAAGAGAGUUCUCCAAAUGACAAAGCUGAGGACAACACUUGGUCUUUAACUAUUGAGUCACUGAUCAAUGAAGACACCUUGCCAGCCUUCUCUGUGCUAGGCACUCUGCUAGGGAAGCAGGGAAGGACGAAAACACUAGAAUCUGUUCCGAAGCCUUCAGAGUCUGGGAGCGGGGUGGAGGGAGGCCAGGGGUGGGACCCCGUGAGCUCUGCCCCCCAGAGCCAGCCUGUGCUCAGAGAGGAGCAGCCGAGACAGCCGGGCCACCUUCCGUCUCUCCGCCGCAAUCCCCAGGAGGAAAGGGGUUCUGGAAGGCUGAGGAAAAUGACUGAGAGAAGUUGCAGCUGAUCCAGACAGCUCAGCGAGGCUGGAGAUCAGGAGGGAGGCGGGUGUGUCGAGGAACCGGAGGCAAGCUCGGGGCAGGGGGACCGCCAAGGACCCCGCGCAGGUGGAGGAAGAGAGGGCUCUGGAAAGACCUGGCUGUCGCUCGCGGGCUGCUGAGGACAGGACUUCGGUUGCUGUGGGAAAGGCAAACGCUAUUUUUCCUCUCGGUCACUUAAGACAAUGGGGUGUUGUGACACUCCGGAAUCUGAAGAUAAAUGUUUAAUCAAAGGAUUCAAUUUGA